GCCGGGAUGGCGGAAUUGGCAGACGCGUACGUUUGAGGUGCGUAUGGAGAGAUCCGUCCGGGUUCAAGUCCCGGUCCCGGCA
Molecule: transfer RNA, 82 nt
Filed under: bacterium
Lineage: Bacteria
Description: tRNA-Leu
Rfam family: tRNA
About the family: Transfer RNA (tRNA) molecules are approximately 80 nucleotides in length. Their secondary structure includes four short double-helical elements and three loops (D, anti-codon, and T loops).
Source: RNAcentral